Molecule: long non-coding RNA, 8223 nt
Organism: Dicentrarchus labrax (European seabass)
Lineage: Eukaryota; Metazoa; Chordata; Actinopteri; Moronidae
Exons: 3
Source: RefSeq, a predicted model, not a curated record
UGUCUUGUGCUGUGUAACCCGUAGCGGCUCGGUUACGACUGUUACUUAAAUAUUUCUGUGGGAUUAGUGAGGUUUUAUUAAUUAUUUAGUUUGUUUCGUGGUGAGUUUUAUCUCCCCACGCGGUGGAUGGACCCAAGUGCAAGGUCAGCUGACCGAGUUAAAAAUACCGUGGGGAAUAUGAGAGCAUGUUGUCGCUGUAAACCUGCCCGAGGUGCCACGAAGAGUUGAGAAAAACUGAAUCUUUCCACAUGAAAUAAAUGUGCAGAGCAGCUCAACGGGUCUAAAUUACAGCUGUACAGCGUAGCCCUGCUAAAGAAUGCAUGUCAUGAAAACAACACUGACUGGGAUUUUGCCAGCCAACCCUGGAAAAGAUUUGUUGCUGUUCCUGUCUCCUUCUCCCCACCUCCUCACAUGAACUCCGCUGACCUGGGGGCCCUAGACUCAGACGGAUAUCAACGUGCCUGUCCCAAAACAUGACCCAGGCACAUGGUUGCUUGACAAGGAUCAAAGGUCACAUCAGUAAAAUAUGAGUCUUAAACUAGUUCAGUCUUCUCUGACAUGUGGCCUGAGGAGGGAAGUAGGCAUUUCAGUUCAACCAGGAGCAUGCACUUGAAUUUGGGGAGCAGCAUGCACGACAGAAAAAAGUCUUGCAAGAUGUACCUGUGUUUGCAAGAUUUCAUAAAAUCUCCACAGACAUGCAAAAAAACCUAAAAAUAUAAAGCUUGUUUAUGAUGAUCAAAGCGUAUAAGAGGUAAAACGAGACGCCUGAAAAUACCUGACCCGUAUUUAUAUAUAGCUCAAAGUUCAGUGUCAUUUUUCAGCAGCUGUUGAUGAACUUUACACUGCAUAACCCAUGAAACACUGAAUAUGGAAAAUGCAUGUGAGCUAAACAUAGUGAACUUUGAACUGCUUUCAAACUGUCUGUGUGCGGCUUACUGAGCAGUAUAUAUUUAAACUGCAGGUGGUAGGCCUUCUUUGCAUAAUAAUUGUUGAACUGCAUAUGACCCUGACUCACCAAAUACACUGCGGUGUCAAACUGCCAAUAAUCCAUGGUCCUUCACAGAUAGUGGGGUAAUAUUUUACCUGAAGUGUGAUUAACAAGUAUUAUCAAGUGUGUGUGUGUGUGUGUGAGUUGUCUAUUGGUGUUCUUGAAUCUUAAUUUCAAUGAGAGUAUGGAUAAUCUGAGAGCACAGUAGGGCUGAGUCAUUUUUCAGGUAAACAUACCCAUAUCUGAAAUCAAUAUGUUUGGGUUUUAAAAAAAUACUGAUUGCUAAUUGAAAACAUUAGGAAACUGUAACGGACAUUUUAACUACUGUCUGACAAGCAAAAAAAGUGGCUUUUAUUAAAACAAUUGUUAGUUACCUCACUAAGACACCUAAAUUGGCUUACAGAACUAAAUCAAACAACCCCUUUUACUGCUAGCCCUACGGCUGCUACCAUUAUGCUUACAGCAGCAUUCUGACCACGUUUUUUAACCACGUGUGGUAAAAUUAAACAUGUUUUAAGAUGCGCUCUGGUCAAAUGAAACUUGGUUAACUCUAUCUCUCAGUAUUUCAGAACACAUUUUAUCUUCAUAUCCUCUGAUGUGGCGUUCUACAGUUGAAGAUAAGUUUAUAUUAGAGCAGAGAAAAGUACAGUUUUUUCCUUCAACAUCAAAUAGGAACCCUGCUCUUCAUUACUUUCAUAUCUGUGGUUUCGACAGCUUGGCUCUGUACUUCUCUGGUGCAGACAUUAGCCUACUGAGUUCUCUCUCUGAUAUGACUUAUAAACCCUGCGUUUUGUAUUCCCUCUUUGUAUUGUAUGUUUGGGUGUUUUUUUUUUAAUUAUUUAUUGCUAAAAGGGUCAACCGCAUUUUAUGGAGCUUUUGUUUUUGUUACAGGUGCACAGGGAAUUUUAGCACUGGAAGGAUGUCAGAGCAUUGCUGUUACAUCCUGGUUCAUCUGAGCACAAGAUCAUAACAGCAAUGAAUUUGCAAGAGCAAAGUUAGUGAAAUAUGUUGCAGGCAAGUAAAAAAAAAAAAAAAACAUUCAUUAAACAUUAAUUUAGAUUCAACAUUCCCACUGUACAAUGAGUUCCUGACAGUGUUUGCUGAAGUAAAAUGAGGCCAGUCUGCAAUGUUCUUCAACACCGACCAAAAUAUAAAUCACAAUAUUGGAUCGUCUCAUUGGUUUCAGAUCAUUUGAGGACAACAACUCAUGUCCUCGUGGUCCAACCUCAAAUAAAAUGCUUAAAGGGGAUACAUGAAUGGUGGCUUUGUUGCACAAAAGCACAGAAUGCAUCCUCAGUUGUAAGUGGCUAAAUGGAUUAUACAUGCAGAGGAAAGGUCAACUAUAAAUCCCAUAAGAACCCAUGGUGACACGUGUGUCACAAACACUUUAAAUGUCCUUGAAUCUUCCAUAUACAGCUUUAUGCUAGACUUUAACUCAUUAAGUCCCUAAGUGACAUCUACAAAACAUCCUGGUAUGGUGGUCAUAUGACAAUCAUGUGACUGUGACAGGAAAGUGUCCCCUCCAAAAUGUGGGUGUGACUGAAAUGACAGAAAUGACAGAAAUAAAGGAAAUGGCUGAAUUCAAAAAGCUUGUUUUUUGAUACUAAUGUAAGUUUAAACCCAUUUAACAAUUCUAAUGCUUUAAUAGUAUGUCCUGUAUUGCAUUUAAUCUGUUCUGACCAUAUUUCCCGAACAAAAUAAUAUAAAACAAGUUACUAAAAUGUUGCUGUGACGUAUACGUCACAUCGGGCUUUUAACUGAAAAUCUGAUGUGACGCCUGUGUCACAAUAACAAAAAAGGUAAUAAGCCUCUCAAUUAAUUUCACUGUUUCAAUUAUUUAGAAUUAAUAUAUGCCCUGUUGUUCAAUUUAAAGUAUAUUUGAAGAAAUAUAAACAAAAAUGAAUGUCAAAUUAUUAAGGUAUUUAUUUACCAAGGUAUUUAUUUACCAAAAACACCCAUUGUGACUUAUAUGUCACAAAACAAAUAUUUGACAUUUAAAAAGAAAAAACAUCAGAAAUGUGUUCUAUGAGUUGGUAUAUCCCCCAUCAUUUUCUUUCAAGAAAAAUGGGUCUGGGUUCUUAUGGGCUAAGGAUCACCACAUGUAUCCAGCUAUAUAGAAAGUGAUGUGUCACUGUCUGACACGCACUUCUUAGUAGAAGUUAAUGGAAAACUUAUUAAAUGACAAAGAUUAAAGUUAGCACCGGCCUAACAAGAUCACAUUUGCCAUAUUGUAUUUUUUCGUUUUAAUCCUCACUUGACUUUAAUGUCCACAAUUUGAUCCUGUUUUGUAACCCUGUUCUGAAUAUGAGCUGUAUAAAUGAAGAUUGUUACCAUGAUACCAAGGAUGGAAAAGUUCUGACGCUCAUUAGCAGCCAAUUCCUACUUGGGGGGGGCAAAACAGCUUCACUGUGGGAAGAAUUCAGCAUCAUCUAACGUGACUAUAUGGAAUGUGAGGAAAUAAAUGUGCAAAGUCAAUACAAACAAGUAUUGCAACACUCUCACUACAUGUUUUCUGUGGAAAAGUACCAGGGUACACCGUGUCACCAUGGCGGAUUCCCUUGUUGUUUUAUGGCAAAGCCUCGGGGAAAAGGACGGGGGAGGGGCAGGGCUGUAUAGAAACAAGUGGUGUGUGUGUCAGUGUGUCUGUGUGAGCAUAUGUGUGUGAAUGCAUGUGAUAGAAUGAGGGGAGGUUAUAAUUUGAUCCUGGGUGCAUCUCCAGCCGUUUAGCUUUGGAAAUUUACCUUCACAACAGAGCAGAUGGGAAAAUUUGGAUGAGGAAAAUGACUACGAUCAGAUUUAACCUCAACAAGUGGUUCAGAGUGUCCUGACAGCACCUCGGCUACCGACAGGGCAACAGAAGAUGACCGGGCAGCUCCCAGAGGUCAAUGUGGAAGUGUAUGGAGGUGCUGAAAAUGUGUGUUUUCUGCUGUAAACGUGCAGAUAAGGCUGUCCUAUUGCAGCAUUCACAGUCAUGAAAGCGUUGGAAUUUGUCAUUUGUAGUCCUGUUAUUUAAAAAUUCUUCUAUAAUAAAGUCUGCACACUUUUUAAAGGAGAAAAAAAAAUGUACGUUUGUCUGUGUGUGUAUCCGCUAUACACCGUCCUUAUCUGCUGCAUACUGCUACAUACUGUAGCAGAUAAGGGAGUGCCAACAGUCAACCAACUAGUCACAUGCACAUCCAAUGCAUACAAUCUAGCUUGAUUUCAGAUGUGUUACUAUACGAUGUUACACAGCAGAAUUUCACUGCACUCCGCUGUUUCCCUAUUUCUUUGUUUCCCCAACACUGUGCUGUUUUGCCCAUUGUGAUAACAAAACCAGUUUGAUUUGUUCUCUUCUUCCCAGAGAUAUGUUUAAAAGAACAACACAAAUUCAAGUGGGCAGUUGUGUGAAUGUCACUGAAAUCUAAACAGUGUCUCUGGAUAAUGUUGGAGGGCAGCCUGCUGGUUUUUGUGCAUGUUUGCUCUGCAUUUUGUAAACUACACACGGGAAAUGCUAAUGUGGGACUGCAGGAAGAAAAUUACAAGAAUAUAAAUCCUAGGCUGACUGAAAUUAUUGUGAAUGAAUUAAAAAUACAAUUGAGGGCAUUUAAUGAUGUAUGGCCAAGACUUUGUUCAGAGAGCGACUGAUUACAUUAAAGUUACUAUUUCCUUUACAUAUUCCACAUACUGUACAGUUGUGGACUGAGAUGCCCUUUCACCUACAUGUUUGGCAUUAUUUUACUAACAAGCUGCAUAUAUAUUUACAGGAUAUAGAUUAACUGAGCUGUAAUUCAGCACCAUGUUUUUGUUCAAUCUGUAUUUAAAUCAGUAAUGUCAUUUAGACAAAGGAAUUAAAUGCGGUUUACCACAAAGCAAAACAUGGUAUGAGACCAUGUCAUUGAUGAUAAAAAGGGUCACAUGUCAAAAAGAGUGCUUAAACAUGUUCCACUGUAUUGCAGCUGAGCAGUGAAAUGAGGCCAUAGUUUGUGAUGUUAUAUUGGAUUGAAUUAUAUUGAGUGUAUUGCCUUUAAUAAUAUAAUGACCCUUAACCAGCAAUAAUGCACCAGUGUCAUCAAAGAAUCCCAUAAUGAUGAAUCAACUCCUUUCUGACAGAAAAAUAGGCUGAUAGGCUUCUCAAAGGGAGGAUUGUAUUUCCUGCUCCAUAUUGUUGGGAUGUUAUUAUUGUAUCUGCUCCCUAAGCAGUUCACCAGAGUGCAAAUGAUCGCUGCUCGUCUGUGAGUAAUUGUAGUCAGGUGACCUCCUUUGGGAAAUACAGCAAUUGUUGUGCAGUGAUUCAUUCAUAUAAAAUAUUUAUGCCCAAAGAGAUUUGGAUUUCUUUGACUUACUGUAUGUAAUAGUAACAUUAUUUAGAUUAUCAUUAUAUAGGUUCAUAUGGCUCAAAAAAUCCACUGUAUGAAAAGUGAGAACCUACAAAGGGCAGAAAUGUCGCGACAUUUCACCGAGACACACCCCCUUUUGGUCGUAAUAUCGACCGUUCCACUCGGGGCUCCUCACAGUACACCGAGCUGAAUGAGGGUGAACGUACGACCCGCAAAACAAAGAUGGUUGCGCCCAUAUUGAGAUGUAUUUUCUUUGUAUUUGUACUACGUUGGUCAUUUUAAUGUCGAUUUUAAAUGCUCUUACACACUUGUUUACAUUGCUGCUUUAGUCCGGUCACCAAUUUAUGCAUUGCAUGGUGUUGCUGUGCGUGCAACACAAUGUAAAGUUUUGUUUUCAAGCUGGUUUGCUAAAUAGGCUAAUAUAGCUAACAAUAAGCCCCUGGUGGCUCGAGACAAAAUAUAACAAGACAGCUGCUGCACUGGUGGCGUCCAUGUUCUUUCUGACUCGUUGUGUAGCAAAUGCCCAAAGACAAACUGGAGCGCUAUAAGUGGUACAAGCCAGGCAAUUACGUCAUGUUCUCGCGUCAGAGCAACUCGGGCGGGGGAUUUACGAGACAAAUGGAUAGCACCAUUAGCUGAUAGCCACUGAGGGACUUGUCAUAUGACCAAUACACUUAUUAGCAGCUAAUUCGAAUGUGAUGUGUGAAUUACAUAACCUUUGUGAACUCUGAAGAAGCCGGCAAUUCAAUCUCGUCCCAUGCUGGUGAGUCAGUGAAGAAAUACUGUCUUUCAUAGCAGACAAUCUAAAUGGGGUUGGAAGAGGGAGGAAAGUCUGCAUACCAAAGAAGAGUGAAGUGGAAACAUGGAGCUCUAAGGACAGGCAAACAUUGUUACUGUUUGCUAAGGUUAUACAACAGAUAUCUCAAGAGAUAUUCUUGCUUUUGCUGUCAGUCAAAAACCAUUAUUACAGCAGGUAAUUUCAACUAAGGGACUGUAUGAAAAUUAUUGGGGUGAAUAUCCGCAAUAUCUCAAAAUACUUACAAUCAUUAAUACCAUUACAGUUCAUUUUGCAUUAAUAACUAGAACCGUGCAAAGAAUUUUAGAUGGUGUUUUCAAAUUUAAGCCUUAAUAUGUGAAUGGAGUAAUCGUUUUCACAUAGAAAGCAAAUCACCUAAUGGAAAUGAACAAAUGCCAGAAUAUUCCAGCCUUUUUAUUUCUGAAACAAGAUGUCAUUUAAUAUGACACAUUUACAUUAUUUUUUGCAUAUUUCUGAACCCUCCCCUCUCCUAAUCAUUUAUCUACAGUCCCUAAAGUGUCAAUGAACUUUGCUCUCCACAUUUAAAAAAGUAAAUUUAUAACACAAAAUAAAAUGCUAUUCUUUAUCAAAUACAUGAAAUUGCACAAAUGGUAAACGCACGACCCUUCUGAUUGCAGACCUUGACAUAGAAGAGGAAAUAACAAUAAUCACAGAGUAAUGAUUUGCUUUUCUUCUGAAAUGCUGAGAAGAGCAGGAAAAAAAUUAAAUUACAUUGUAACCAUAGUAAUCGUUCCCUCACGGCUUCCUCUGUGUGAUGUCUGACAUUUCCACUUUUUAUCAUACAUCUUGCUGACAACAUCUCCCCUGUUCAUGUUGUCAGUGGAAACUGCUGUCAGGUCCGGCUGCCUGCUGGUAACCAAAAAGCAUUUCAUGCAUGUUCAAGCCACAGAGCCUCGACCUUAAGCAGGGGUUUGCAUUUGAAGCAUGAGCCAUACGACAUCAUCGCAUGCUGGUAAUGUGCAUGUUAUCCCGUCUCUUUCAUUGGAUGUCUCCAGGAGAUCAGCCCAGCAGCAUGCUAAUGGUGGACAAAUGCAUCAUUAGGGCUGUCUCUUCGUUACCCCUGUUGAUGUCUAUCACUUUGCAACCUGAGAGUUAAAUGUGAUUCAUUGAGCCCAGCUGGUGCAAAAUGACCCACUGCUAUUGUGAUGGGGUGAGAUAAUCUCUUAUCCAAAACAUGAAUCCUUUUCUUCAUGGCAGCUUUAGCACCAACAGAGACGUCCAGGUUCUGACUAUGAGUUUCUAGUUUCCUUUCUCUCUCUCUCUCUCUCUCUCUCUCUCUCUCUCUCUGUGUGUGUUUGCAGUACCAGCACCUGAGAUAAGAGCUGGCAAGUGAAGAAAACAAGAAGGUGCAUUAUCCUCUCACUAAAGCACGUUUGGAAUAUGAGUGUUGUUUGGUCUUUUCAGUUGCUCCAACAACUUGUGAUUUAUUACACGUUCUAAAAGGGAAACAUCUGCCCUUGAAAAACAGGUGAAGGAACAAACAGGCGCUGCAGUGGAGGUAUUUGAAAAUGGGGUUAAUGUAUAACCUAAGUCAAUGCUAGACAGAUGGGUAUUUUAAAAUCUUAUACUGCUGUUUAGAAAAUACGAUAUUUCCCAGCAGCACAUAUCUGCCCCUCUCUGCAGGGCUCUGUGGGGGAUUCACGUGGCUUGUUUUUUUGCCUGACAGUUAUAAUAUAUGUGCUUUCAGUUUCAGGAAUGCUGCUGCAUCUUGGAAAAAAGGGAGUGUCACUAAGAGCAGAUGUUAUGCUUUUAAUCAUCCAUAUUGCACUGAAGCUUUUGAUGUUUUAGUACUUGGAUUCUUCCUUACACACCAAAUGCCAUUGUGUUUUCAACAUCCAACUCGCUCUGGGACAACUGCAGAGGAAGUUGAGUUAAUUUAUCAAUGAAAUAGGCUUUUACGUUACUAUGGUCGUAAAGAAAAAUCCCCUCUGGUGUUUUGCCUUGCAUCUAUUUAUCUAUAUUUUUCAGUAAAACAAAGCUUGUUUUGUUACAAUACACUUUUUACAAUAAAAUAUGAGAAUGAAAUUGUGCUGUCUUGCAAUUUGUUUAACAUUUUCAAACAAAUUUCCCCCCGGGGAUCAAUAAAGUAUUUCUGAUUCUGA